This 750-nucleotide ribosomal RNA is filed under the name uncultured bacterium. RNAcentral describes it as "bacterial SSU rRNA". It matches the Rfam family "Bacterial small subunit ribosomal RNA", at positions 48 to 809 of the family's 1533-position model. The record is from RNAcentral.
GUAUUAAGGNCAGNUCGAACGGACUCAUAUUGAAACCUAGUGAUUUAUGAGUUAGUGGCGGACGGGUGAGUAACGCGUGGAUAACCUGCCGUAUACCGGGGGAUAACACUUAGAAAUAGGUGCUAAUACCGCAUAAGCGCACGGCUCCGCAUGGGGCAGUGUGAAAAACUCCGGUGGUAUACGAUGGAUCCGCGUCUGAUUAGCUAGUUGGCGGGGUAACGGCCCACCAAGGCAGCGAUCAGUAGCCGGCCUGAGAGGGUGGACGGCCACAUUGGGACUGAGACACGGCCCAAACUCCUACGGGAGGCAGCAGUGGGGAAUAUUGCACAAUGGGGGAAACCCUGAUGCAGCGACGCCGCGUGAGUGAAGAAGUAUCUCGGUACGUAAAGCUCUAUCAGCAGGGAAGAAAAUGACGGUACCUGACUAAGAAGCCCCGGCUAACUACGUGCCAGCAGCCGCGGUAAUACGUAGGGGGCAAGCGUUAUCCGGAUUUACUGGGUGUAAAGGGAGCGUAGACGGCAGCACAAGUCUGGAGUGAAAUCCCGGGGCUUAACCCCGGAACUGCUUUGGAAACUGUGCGGCUGGAGUGCAGGAGGGGUAAGCGGAAUUCCUAGUGUAGCGGUGAAAUGCGUAGAUAUUAGGAGGAACACCGGUGGCGAAGGCGGCUUACUGGACUGUAACUGACGUUGAGGCUCGAAAGCGUGGGGAGCAAACAGGAUUAGAUACCCUGGUAGUCCACGCCGUAAACGA